RNAcentral lists this ribosomal RNA (309 nucleotides) under uncultured bacterium. Its description in RNAcentral is "partial 16S ribosomal RNA". It matches the Rfam family "Bacterial small subunit ribosomal RNA", at positions 504 to 808 of the family's 1533-position model. The record is from RNAcentral.
AGAGACAGCAGUCGCCGCGGGAAAACGUAGGUGGCAAGCGUUGUCCGGAAUUAUUGGGCGUAAAGGGCUCGCAGGCGGUUUCUUAAGUCUGAUGUGAAAGCCCCCGGCUCAACCUGGGGGCUGCGUUUGAUACUUGGUUGCUUGAGUGGGGAAGAGGUGAGUGGAAUUCCCAGUGUAGAGGUGAAAUUCGUAGAUAUUCGGAAGAACACCAGUGGCGAAGGCGACAUACUGGUCCAUUACUGACGCUGAGGCUCGAAAGCGUGGGGAGCAUCAGGAUUAGAUACCCCCGUAGUCCCUGUCUCUUAUACA